AUCAGCAAAGGGCAAACUUGUCGAAAGGCAAGGACGCAAAGCUAAGGGUCUACGGCUCCGCACGAGCUAUGAUCGCCUGGUUACCGGG
This 88-nucleotide non-coding RNA is filed under the name Thermobacillus composti. Its description in RNAcentral is "c-di-GMP sequence". It matches the Rfam family "c-di-GMP-I riboswitch aptamer". From Rfam's summary of the family: GEMM was predicted in a large-scale screen for bacterial structured RNA regulatory elements. Genes associated with GEMM are involved in a diverse array of functions, including chemotaxis regulation, signal transduction, secretion and chitin. The record is from RNAcentral. Lineage: Bacteria; Bacillati; Bacillota; Bacilli; Caryophanales; Paenibacillaceae. RNAcentral also lists the same sequence under 1 other name.